GGGCGGCGGGCGGGCGGCGGGCGGAAGGCAUCACUUUGUCCGGACUCUAAUUCAAAUUGUAUUCAUCCGAUCUUCACCAAACUUGGUCAGCAGUUGCAUCUAGUUGAUAUCUAGGCCAAGUUCGAAUAUGGGUCAUGCCGGGUCAAAAACUAGGUCAUAGGGUCAAUAAGUGCAUUUUCAACGGGGCCACUUUGUCCGGACUCUAUUUCAAAUUGUAUUCAUCCGAUCUUCACCAAACUUGGUCAGCAGUUGCAUCUAGUUGAUAUAUAGGCCAAGUUCGAAUAUGGGUCAUGCCGGGUCAAAAACUAGGUCAUAGGGUCAAUUAGUGCAUUUUCAACGGCACCACUUUGUCCGGACUCUAAUUCAAAUUGUAUUCAUCCGAUCUUCACCAAAUUUGGUCAGAAGUUGUGUCUAGAUGAUAUGUAGGUCAAGUUCAAAUAUGGGUCAUGCCGGGUCAAAAACUAGGUCACGAGGUUACUUAGUGCAUUUCAAGCAUUUAGCAUGGUGUCCGCUCUCUAAUUGAAGUAGUUUUCAUCUGAUCUUCACCUAAUUUGGUCAGAAGUUGUGUCUAGAUGAUAUGUAGGUCAAGUUCAAAUAUGGGUCAUGCCGGGUCAAUAACUAGGUCUUGAGGACACUUUCAAGCAUUGAGCAUGGUGUCCAAAACCUUCGAACGGGCGUAUCUUGUGACAGUUUGGCACUCUUGUUUUAAAU
Long non-coding RNA from Dreissena polymorpha, 711 nucleotides. RefSeq lists it as uncharacterized. The transcript has 3 exons. The record is from RefSeq and is a predicted model, not a curated record. NCBI's taxonomy places the organism in Eukaryota, Metazoa, Mollusca, Bivalvia, Myida, Dreissenidae.